CCCCCAGUAACUGAAUUAAAUGACUGGAAAAGGGCAAUCAAGGUGGCUGUCACAUGCCAGUGCAUGGAAGUUAGCAUAACAUCUGCUUUGCCGGCUGUUUCAGAACUCACUGGCAAUCUUUGCUGAGCGUGCUCUUCCCGGGUUGGAAGCUAUGGGCUUGGCCGUGCCUGAGAACCUGAGCAGACCCCAGACGAGCAUGCUAAAGGGCUCCUCACGAUCCUCAGUUUGCUGUCUGCAGAAGGGCUCGCCCCGGGCUGUGUUGGGGUACUUAAUUCACUUUUCGUCUUGUGCGUGAAAACGGCUCCAAGAGAUUCUCCUCCUGCGGCAAGAGAUCUGGAAAGGUCUGAAAGUUUUCAGAGACUCAGCAGUGAAGGUCAUAAGAGGGACUGGAGUUUUGGCCCAUGCAUCUGCUCACUGAAACUCGGUCAUCUCAUAUCGAGGACAACAAACCAGCACCAGUCUGCAAGAGCACGAAGAGGGCAUAUAUUUUGAAAACAAACGGAUGACAGAUGUGAAGGCUAGAAAGCACCACCGUGAGCCCCUGCUUGGAGCGUCUUCCUGAAGCCUUCUCACGUUUGCCGUUACGGGGACGCUCCUCAACGUUGCUGGCGUUCCCAGCAGCUCCGCACAGCCUCCUCAGCAUGUAUGUCCAGAGCUAUGGGGGACAUGUUAUUUCUGCUUCUCACAUGAGGGUGUUUGUGUCAGCCUGCUUCAUUUAGAACAAACAGGGUGGAGAGAGCUUUUGAGGGAAUUGGGAGUUCCCCUGAUGCCUUUGACCAAGCUGCUUCGUGCUUGGGCAGAGGAGGAGGAGGAGGAGGAUGUCUGAGGCUGGGGGAAAAGAGGAAGGGCAACUGCAGGUGCCAGAAGUAACUGGAAAGCCGUAGGAGACACUUGGAGUCAACAUGCAGCUAUUAAAGAGAAAAAAUAGAAUUAGAUGAGAACCAUGGGGGGAAAGCUAUGUUUCUUCUGAACCACUGGUAACAAAGAGUUCAGACCAUGGUUAAAAAUAAAUACAUAAAUAAAUUAAGCUGCA
This is a long non-coding RNA of Struthio camelus australis, 1033 nucleotides long. The record is from Ensembl. Lineage: Eukaryota; Metazoa; Chordata; Aves; Struthioniformes; Struthionidae.